GACGAACGCUGGCGGCGUGCUUAACACAUGCAAGUCGAACGGUAAGGCCCUUCGGGGUACACGAGUGGCGAACGGGUGAGUAACACGUGGGUGAUCUGCCCUGCACUUCGGGAUAAGCCUGGGAAACUGGGUCUAAUACCGGAUAGGACCACUGCCUGCAUGGGUGGUGGUGGAAAGCUUUUGCGGUGUGGGAUGGGCCCGCGGCCUAUCAGCUUGUUGGUGGGGUGAUGGCCUACCAAGGCGACGACGGGUAGCCGGCCUGAGAGGGUGACCGGCCACACUGUGACUGAGAUACGGCCCAGACUCCUACGGGGGGCAGCAGUGGGGAAUAUUGCACAAUGGGCGCAAGCCUGAUUCAGCGACGCCGCGUGAGGGAUGACGGCCUUCGGGUUGUAAACCUCUUUCAGCACCGACGAAGCGCAAGUGACGGUAGGUGCAGAAGAAGGACCGGCCAACUACGUGCCAGCCGCCGCAGUAA
This 478-nucleotide ribosomal RNA is filed under the name uncultured bacterium. RNAcentral describes it as "partial 16S ribosomal RNA". It matches the Rfam family "Bacterial small subunit ribosomal RNA", at positions 28 to 523 of the family's 1533-position model. The record is from RNAcentral.